GAUAUACAGAAAUGAAUAAUACAAAUCAGAAUGGAGAAAACAGAAGGAUAGAAUGAUGCGGAAGAUGAAGUGCCGAAAUGGGAAAAAGAAUUACAACAAGAAUUGCAGGAAUAUGAAGUUGUUGAAGGAGAAGGCACUGGUGAUAAUGAACAAUGGGA
This is a long non-coding RNA of Saccoglossus kowalevskii, 158 nucleotides long. NCBI's taxonomy places the organism in Eukaryota, Metazoa, Hemichordata, Enteropneusta, Harrimaniidae. The record is from RefSeq and is a predicted model, not a curated record.